GUCAUCAUCUGAGGUUGCUAUAACAUGAAAUAUAUGGCAGAAUCUGGGUAAAACAAUCCUCCCUGAAAGANCUCACUUUCAGUCACAAAUUAAAUUAA
Non-coding RNA from Chelonoidis abingdonii (Abingdon island giant tortoise), 98 nucleotides. NCBI's taxonomy places the organism in Eukaryota, Metazoa, Chordata, Testudines, Testudinidae. The record is from RefSeq and is a predicted model, not a curated record.